RNAcentral lists this ribosomal RNA (405 nucleotides) under uncultured bacterium. RNAcentral describes it as "bacterial SSU rRNA". It matches the Rfam family "Bacterial small subunit ribosomal RNA", at positions 355 to 774 of the family's 1533-position model. The record is from RNAcentral.
UGGGGAAUAUUGGGCAAUGGGGGAAACCCUGACCCAGCAACGCCGCGUGAGGGAAGAAGGCCUUCGGGUUGUAAACCUCUGUCGCAGGGGACGAAGAAAAUGACGGUACCCUGUGAGGAAGCCCCGGCUAACUACGUGCCAGCAGCCGCGGUAAUACGUAGGGGGCGAGCGUUGUCCGGAAUUACUGGGCGUAAAGGGUGCGUAGGCGGCUAAUUAAGUUGGAUGUGAAAUCCCCGGGCUUAACUUGGGUGGUGCAUUCAAAACUGGUUAGCUAGAGUGCAGGAGAGGGAAGCGGAAUUCCUAGUGUAGCGGUGAAAUGCGUAGAUAUUAGGAGGAACACCAGUGGCGAAGGCGGCUUUCUGGACUGUAACUGACGCUGAGGCACGAAAGCGUGGGGAGCAAACA